CCCCACCACCUCACCCACGAUCAUUCCGCCGCUAUGCCCCGCGGCCGCGCACCUCCCACACCACCACCUCGAAAUAAUUUGUAUAUAAAAAAUAAUUUUUAUGUCCUAGAAAUGGUAAUCAUUUUUUAGGGACGGGUGAUGGCGUCACCCGCCCCUAGAUACGACCACCAGGUUGCUGUAGAGAGCAGAGAAUUUAAUCCUAGUUGAAAUCCAUCAAUUAUCCCGGUUGGUGGCUCCAACCGGGACCAAUACUAUUUGGCCCGGUUGGAGCCACCAACCGGGACCGAUAGCGGUGCUUUUAUCCUGGUUAGAGCCCAACACCGGGAUCAAAGGUAGUGAUCCCCUUUUUUCUAUCAUCCGUGUGCGUGUCUCCAUCUAUGUAUCUCUGUCCUCCUCUCGAUCUCUCUCAUCCUCUCAUCUCUAUCUUAUCCUCUUCCCUCUCCUUCUCUUGUCUUCCUCUGGCUGCAGCCGGCGAGCCCGAGCGGAGCACACGGGGGCGAGCUUGGGACGCAGCAGCAGCUUGCACGAGCGAGUAGCUCUCACGGGGAGCGGUGGCGCCGGAGCCGGAUCGCAGGGCGAGGCUGACCGGAGCAGCGUGCAGCGGGAGGGAGGUGCGGCCGGCCGGAGCAGCGUGGCACGGGAGGAUGGUGCGGCCUGCCGGAGCUGAAGUUCAGGUCGAGGGCUCGGACAGCGGGUUCGGGAUGCAGCAGCGGCUGCAGCCAUGAGCGAGCAGUUCGCAGCAAGCGGCAAGCGGCAAGCGGCGAACUGCGAGCGGCGAACGGUGGCGGAGCUGAAGAGCGAGGCGCGCGGCAGGAACGGCAUCGCUUGCAGCGAGCGGCAGCCGCUCGGACCUUGGGCUGGUGUGUUGUUUUUUUCUUUUUCAAAUGUUUUGGUUUUCUUGUUCAUCACUUCGCUUGUGUGAAGGCUUUGUCUGUGAUUAUUUUUUUGUUUGUGACUGAGCUAUUGAAUCUUUAUAUGAUUUGAAUCAAAUCAAUCUCAUGUGUUAUGAAUUAGAUUUGUACUUUCUUGUACGAUUGUCUUGUGAGAUGAACAUGUUUCUAGCUUCAAUCUUAAAUUUCUUCUAAGUGUGAUUGUAUCUCUAUGAGAAAGUUGAAGCAUAUUUUGUGAUGAAGUUGGAACUGGAAGAGGAAUGAGGUGGUGGUCGAGGUGGAGGUAUGGAGCUGCGGCGGGACAAACAAGCACCUUUUUUGUUGUUGUUUUCUUUAUCUUUUGUCCCGGUUAGGAACCCCACCCGGUAUCUAAAAUUACAUUUUGUCCCGGUUGAAUCACCCGGGAUCAAAAACUAGUAUCUUUUGUCCCGGAGUCGUAGUCCCGGUUGGGAAACCGGGACUAAAGCUAGUUCCCAACCGGGACUACAUGUUGUUUCUAUAGUAGUGAUAGUGCGUACGUGUUGCAAACCGGGACUAAAGCUAGUUCCCAACCGGGACUAAACCUUAAAAACCUGUUUUCUUAAAAUGGGGGAUUGCAUUGGUAGCAGCCUGCACGAACGCGGAGAUUCUUAAUUAACCACCCCUUGAAUCUUGCAGGAUGCGCAUCAUCCUUAUGGCCAAUGCUUCUUGAUGAGCUUUUUGGCCAUUGAGCUCCGUCCAACCCUGCGCACCCCUUUUCUGCAGAGUUUUGAAUUUCGGUGCUUGCUUGUUGUCAGGCUCUGCAACUCUUGCGUCUUGCUUAUUAAUUACUAGUAUUUUUUCUUUGAGAAUUUAAUUACUCCAUCCUAUAAGGGAACGAUUAAACAUCGCUACGCCCACCCAAACUGCCGUCCCCCACUGAGAUGUUUGGGACCGAAUGCACCAACAAAAUUGUACCCCAAAACUCGCCACAGUUCAAAACAAAAGAUCUGGAUCAUCCAAACCCCAUCGAACGGACCGGAACGCUAGGCUUCAACGCGUUGAAGCGGACGGACAGCCCAACCCGCGCGCGGCGCGCCAGGUCCUCUUCCCCGCGCCCCGCGUUCGAAACUUUCUCCGAGCGCCAUCCGACUGCGCCGCGGCCUCCAGCUCCCCCGCAGCCGCGUCCGGUAGUGGGCGGGUCCGUGGCCGCCGCCGGGCCGCCGGCCUGCCUGCUGCGCCGCCUCGGGCCGAAGCCCCCUCCUGCGCCGCCCAGCUGUGCCGAAGUUGGCCGGCCCUAUUCCUCCCUCCCUCCCUCCGCUUUCUCCCUCAGCCAAGAAACCUAGGUCGUCUCCUCCACCUCCGUUUUGGGAGUCCGGAGGCUACUGGGUCUGGAUCCGCCCUCUCCCUCGCCGGAUCUACGCCUCCCUUAGCCGGAUCUACGUUCCUUCGCCUGGGCGACAUGGAGCCGCCCUCCUCUUUCCGGCGGCGCUGGCCCAGCCUCCUCUACCGGGACUCGCGCGCGUGGAGGCGCUGGCCGGGCAUGCCGUAGGCCGCCGUUGCCUCUGUGCCGCGCUCGUGGACGCGCUGGCCGGGGACGCGGCAGGCCAGUGUUGCUUCUGUGCCGCGCGGAGGUGCUGGCCGACCGGCCGUGGCCGUGGCCGCGGUGGCCGGUGCUCCAGCUUGCUUCUCUCACUUCCCGCUUCUUUUUUCUCCAUUCUAUUUCAGAUCCGGUAGUGUGGAACUAUAAACGGCACAGAGGGACGAGCUUUGUGGCGGCGGUUGCUCUGGUGAGGGAGCUCUGCGGCAAGCCACGCGGAGUGGCGGCCACGGCAUGCUCACCCACGUCGAGGUUUCUCAUGCUGAUUUUGCAUAAUUUCUUACCAUCUAGGAGCAAGAUUGCUUCUGCAACAUUAGCUAUGAAGUUAAUGUUUUGGCAAGAGGAUCAACAGAAGGAUGCGGUAAGCUUUCUAUUUCUAUGGAAUAAUGUCGUGUGGUGUGUUGCUUUUUUUAACAUUAGCUUUUUUUAAUUAUGUGGUGUGUUGCUUUGGGUUCCUACCUGCUGCUUGUUUGAUGAAAAGUCUAGGCAAACAAUGUUACACCGAAAUAGAAGUUGCUAUUGCUUUUACUUGAUGGACUUUGAUUAUUCUUGUUCCACUGUUAGAGUUUUGCCGAGGAUGCAAAAAUUAUGCCAAUUGGUUUUAGUUCUUAUGAACAAUUAGUUUGUUGUUGUGCAAUACUUUCUUAUUUGUGUUUGCAUUUUCAAGCCUAGAAUAAAACUUGGUGACCUAUUACUACUUACUUUGCUAAUUGUGCUUGCAAUCAUAUUGUUAUUUUCGUAUUGUGUAAAAUUUUGUUUUUUUUUUGGCACACGCAUUUUGUUGUGUAAACCUUGAGCCUGAUGGUUCCAUGCAGAUCCUUGCCCUACGGUAUGUAGAAGGCAAGAAAGCCAGAGAUAUUCUGGAAGUUUAUUUAAUCGAUGAAAAUAGACAUCAUCUGACAGAGCCAUUUAUGGAUAUGUCUUCCCUAAUUGCCUUGUAUGAGAUCCCUACCCCUAAAGGAUCGAUGCAAAUUUAUGGAUAUCUCUUCCCUAAUUGCCUUGUAUGAGAUCCCCGCUGAGAGGCUCAGCAUGCAGUGCACCCACCAGAUUGUACCCCUAAUCUCGACUGUGUUAAAAUCAAGGGCUCAAAACACUGGUACACUAUUGUGCCCUUAGGCUCCAACAUCAUGAUCAAAUUAUGAUAAUAUUUUUCUGAGACCCCUAAGACCUGUUCUUUGUCUUGUUAUUAUGUUAACAAGUCAUGGUGGAUAUGCUCUGAUGAUUAAAUAUCUUGUGAGGUACUAGGCAUGGUCCUUUUUUUCUCGUUACUAGACUUCCUACCAUGCCAUGAUGCUCCAAGUUUACGAUCAUAUGAUGACUCAUAAAAUUUCUGAAACAUGAUGUUCUACCUGUUCCUUGUCUCAAUCUCAACUUUCAUGUACCAUCUUAUGCUUAUGAUGAAAAUGUACAACUGUACAUCUAAGUUGUUGCCUUUUUGUUCUGCCAUCUUCUUUUCCAUGUGAUAGUUUUAUUCCAGAUACUUACCUUACAAGGUAUAUGAACCGAUGAUGAAGAUGUUGUGAGGUACUGGGCGCCGAUUAUUCUAACUUUUUCACUCUCUUUGUGCCCUUAGGCUCCAACAUCAUGAUCAAAUGAUGAUAAUAUUUUUCUGAGACCCCUAAGACCUGUUCUUUGUCUUUUUAUGUUAACAAGUCAUGGUGGAUAUGCUCUGAUGAUCAAAUAUCUUGUGAGCUUUGAUAGAUCAGUCACCCUCCAUCAGGAACAGGUGGAUUGAGUCCAAUCUUUUACUGGUCCCAGGUGAACUUGAUAAACAUAUGGUCCAUUGUGAAGGGAUCUUGUUUUGCGAUGCUUGUUUCAGAUAUCUGAUUGUGUUUGUAAUGGCUUCUUUACCUAGCUGUUUGCCUGUUCCAGUGGCCAUUACAAAGAAUUACGCUGAGUGUCAUUUUUGGUUUUUGGAGUUGACAGAAGCCAUGGCUCAAAAUUUCAAGCUCCUGUGGCAAUGCAGUUUGGACUCAUGGCGGAGCUGUGCGGCUAGAUGAUUGGAUCUGAUUGAUGCAGUUUAGUCCAGGUAUUGCAUCCCAUUGCUGAUUCUAUCACUAUCAACAAAACGAUCUGGAUCCGGUGCUUUUUGUGACACGUCAUGCUUGCAGGUACAACUUAUGUACAGCUUAUGCAUAUACAAUUUAGAUGUAUCUUUAUGUUUAGUUCUGAGAUGAACCACUUCUUUUUGGUAUGUAGUGAGAAUGAGCGAGGUAGCACAUGUUUUAUAUCAGUUCAUACAGCACAGUGCAAUGUAUUUUCUAGAUAUGCAUAAAUAAGGUGUCACCCAUAGUGUUAGCAUGGGCAAGCUACUAUCAACAUAUAAUAACUACAUGUUACAUCUUUUGUGUGAAACAUAUAUUUUUCAUUUUGAACUA
Long non-coding RNA from Panicum virgatum (switchgrass), 4826 nucleotides. RefSeq lists it as uncharacterized. Lineage: Eukaryota; Viridiplantae; Streptophyta; Magnoliopsida; Poales; Poaceae. The transcript has 6 exons. The record is from RefSeq and is a predicted model, not a curated record.